CCGUCGAUANUCUCAGAUGGUAGAGCGGAGGACUGUAGAGUUGCAGCAAUCCUUAUUUCGCUGGUUCGAAUCCGGCUCGACGUA
Non-coding RNA from Angiostrongylus costaricensis, 84 nucleotides. The record is from Rfam. NCBI's taxonomy places the organism in Eukaryota, Metazoa, Nematoda, Chromadorea, Rhabditida, Metastrongylidae.